UACGUAGGGUGCGAGCGUUAAUCGGAAUUACUGGGCGUAAAGGGUCCGUAGGCGGUGCGGUAAGUCGGGAGUGAAAUCUCUGGGCUUAACUCAGAGGCUGCUUCCGAAACUACCGUGCUAGAGUGCGAGAGAGGCAAGUGGAAUUGCGGGUGUAGCGGUGAAAUGCGUAGAUAUCCGCAGGAACAUCCGAGGCGAAAGCGGCUUGCUGGAUCGCAACUGACGCUGAGGGACGAAAGCUAGGGGAGCAAACAGG
This 253-nucleotide ribosomal RNA is filed under the name uncultured bacterium. RNAcentral's name for it is "partial 16S ribosomal RNA". It matches the Rfam family "Bacterial small subunit ribosomal RNA", at positions 524 to 776 of the family's 1533-position model. The record is from RNAcentral.